Molecule: transfer RNA, 70 nt
Filed under: Boreus elegans
Lineage: Eukaryota; Metazoa; Arthropoda; Insecta; Mecoptera; Boreidae
Description: tRNA-Asp
Source: RNAcentral
AAAGAAUUAGUUAAAAUUUAUAACCUUAAUAUGUCAAAUUAAAAUUAUUAGAAAAUUCUAAUACUCUUUA